Molecule: ribosomal RNA, 253 nt
Filed under: uncultured bacterium
Lineage: Bacteria
Description: partial 16S ribosomal RNA
Rfam family: Bacterial small subunit ribosomal RNA
Source: RNAcentral
UACAGGGGGGGCAAGCGUUGUUCGGAAUUACUGGGCGUAAAGGGCUCGUAGGUGGCCAAUUAAGUCAGACGUGAAAUCCCUCAGCUUAACUGGGGAACUGCGUCUGAUACUGGAUGGCUUGAGUUUGGGAGAGGGAUGCGGAAUUCCAGGUGUAGCGGUGAAAUGCGUAGAUAUCUGGAGGAACACCGGUGGCGAAGGCGGCAUCCUGGACCAACACUGACACUGAGGAGCGAAAGCCAGGGGAGCAAACGGG